This is a long non-coding RNA of Panicum virgatum (switchgrass), 1126 nucleotides long. RefSeq lists it as uncharacterized. The record is from RefSeq and is a predicted model, not a curated record. The transcript is spliced from 2 exons. Lineage: Eukaryota; Viridiplantae; Streptophyta; Magnoliopsida; Poales; Poaceae.
UGGGUAGAGCAAUGAAAAGCAAAUUUAGCAAGUAUUGGGAUGGGAACUAUAAUAUGACCCUUGUUAUUGCAACGGUACUUGAUCCAAGAAAGAAGAUGGACUUCUUGGAAUUCUUUUAUCAGAGGGUGUGCAACUACUUUGUUGAUAUUGAGACAAGCAUGACUUCAGCUAGAGAAUGGAUGACUAAGUAUUUUAGGAAAUAUGAAGAGAUUGUUAGGACAAAUGGUGUAGAUCUAGUAUAUACUACUGUAUCUAGAGGCAUUAUGGGUUCACCUGUGCUAGCUAAAAGAAGAAUGCACCAAGAGUUUGCCCACUUUAGAAAUCAAAAGAGAGCUAGCAAUACUCAAAAAUCGGAACUUGAUGCAUAUCUGGAAGAUGAACAUGUGAGAGAUGAUAAAAACUUUGAGAUCUUGAGUUGGUGGAAGACAAAUAAAGACAAGUAUCCUGUCCUAUCAACCAUGGCACGAGACUUCCUUGCAAUUCCAUUGAGCACUGUGUCUUCUGAGUCCGCAUUUAGUUUGAGUGGUCGGAUUCUUAGUGAUAAUCGGAGUUCAAUGACACCUGAAACCCUUGAAGCCCUUGUUUGUGUUAAGGAUUGGUUGUAUAAGCUCCCAGGCAAUGAAGACUGCUCUCAGAUUGUGGUUGACUAGCACAGGAUAUGGAGUACACCCCUUACGCAGCAAGUUCCUCUGUAUCCCACAUCUCGCUGCUCAAGGAAGUUCUUGGCUGGAGGUUUUGUAUUAAUCAUGUUUUGCCGUGUCGAUAGCAGUAUGUUGGAAGGUUAUUGCGGAUUAGGAUGUAAUGUUCAGCUCCAAGUCCGUUUGAUUGACGAUGCUCUGAAUUCAGUACAUCUAGAUCCUGAAUAAUUUGAUUCAAGACAUGGUGGGACUCAUGGACUCAUGGUCAUGGCACAAUCUAAGAUGUAAACGAUGGCCAACGAUGUAAACUGGACGAUGACAUGGAUGGUCAGUAUGCUUGCGUGGUAGACUGCCAAGAGAGGCUAGGAACUUUUUUUUUUGCAUUACCAUUACUCACUACUUUGAAGGAUCUACUGACAACGGAAGAUGUUUUGCACAGCGUGGCCCCAAACUCUGCCUUCUCGCUUUAUAUGAACAUAAAUUUGUAA